ACGCACGCUGGCGGCGUGCUUCACCCCUGCAAGUCGAACGGAAAGGCCCUGCUUUUGUGGGGUGCUCGAGUGGCGAACGGGUGAGUAACACGUGAGUAACCUGCCCUUGACUUUGGGAUAACUUCAGGAAACUGGGGCUAAUACCGGAUAGGAGCUCCUGCUGCAUGGUGGGGGUUGGAAAGUUUCGGCGGUUGGGGAUGGACUCGCGGCUUAUCAGCUUGUUGGUGGGGUAGUGGCUUACCAAGGCCUUGACGGGUAGCCGGCCUGAGAGGGUGACCGGCCACAUUGGGACUGAGAUACGGCCCAGACUCCUACGGGAGGCAGCAGUGGGGAAUAUUGCACAAUGGGCGGAAGCCUGAUGCAGCAACGCCGCGUGCGGGAUGACGGCCUUCGGGUUGUAAACCGCUUUCGCCUGUGACGAAGCGUGAGUGACGGUAAUGGGUAAAGAAGCACCGGCUAACUACGUG
This 467-nucleotide ribosomal RNA is filed under the name uncultured bacterium. RNAcentral describes it as "partial 16S ribosomal RNA". It matches the Rfam family "Bacterial small subunit ribosomal RNA", at positions 29 to 507 of the family's 1533-position model. The record is from RNAcentral.